UACAGAGGAGCCAAGCGUUGUCCGGAUUGACUGGGCGUAAAGCGCACGCAGGCGGUUGCGCGCGUGGGGGGUGAAAUCUGGCCGCUUAACGGCCAGGCGCCAUCCCAUACGGCGCGACUGGAGUGAUGCAGAGGUCGAUGGAAUUGCCGGUGUAGUGGUGAAAUGCGUAGAGAUCGGCAGGAACACCCAGGGGGAAACCAGUCGACUGGGCACCUACUGACGCUGAGGUGCGAGAGCGUGGGGAGCGAACAGG
This 253-nucleotide ribosomal RNA is filed under the name uncultured bacterium. Its description in RNAcentral is "partial 16S ribosomal RNA". It matches the Rfam family "Bacterial small subunit ribosomal RNA", at positions 524 to 776 of the family's 1533-position model. The record is from RNAcentral.